GCUUUGGAGUUCUAUGCAUUUACUCUUGUUUUGUGACUUAUUAAAGAAAUUAGUCAUCAGGAUUUUCUCUGACUUUUGAUCAGCACCGAACUCUGUCCACAUACAGAUGAUGAGCUGAAUGGAGAGGUGACAGUUCUUGUCAUGAUAUGUUCUGUAUAGAUAUGUUCCUGAUUUUAUUUGAGUACAUUCUGUGUAUUUUCCCAAGUGUUUUCAGUGUUUCCUGUUUUAUUUUGUAGAUUUUGAUUCCUUGUGUUUCUAGUCUGGUUUUACCUCCUCAGUUUUCCCUCCUUCAUUAAUCACUAAUGAGUCUCACCUGUGUCUCGUCUGCCUAACCAGUUGCUCAUUUCCCAGUGUGUAUAUAGUCCCUUUCUUCCCCUCUGUCCUUGUUGGUUCAUUGUAUGUUUGUUGAUGCAUGUGUGUGCCUGUGUCCCCAGUUGCUUCCUGUAAUUUUGCCCCAGUGAUUUUUGUGGAUCUUGCCUCUUGGAUUUUUCUCCUUUUGUUGCUUUUUUUAUUUAGUUCUUUUAAUUCAAUUCUGUUUGUCUGCAUUUGGGUCCUUUUCUUUUUGUUUAACCCUGGUGUCAUGACAGUUCUCACCAACCCAGUUCAAGAAAGAGUACCUCAUUCAAAUUCAAAUAAAUGAAAACAUUCAUCACAUGCACCAACUUAACAUUUGCAAAUGUUCCAGAAAGACUUGGACUAAUUCACAAAGUGCAUGAAAAGGGUUAACUGCUCCACAAACUGCACCCCUGAGCAAAUAACAUCCGUGUGCGCGGUGAGGCUAUUUGCACACGUCAAGUGAGUCAUUAUGCAUUGCCUUACAGCAAUGCAAUAAAAACUUUCUCAUUGCAACCAACACUUCAUUGACAACCACUGGUGCAAACAGCCAUGCACAGUUUGGAUUAAGUAGCUGCUGAGACUGUGUGGGUGGGUUUGGGGUUGUUAUGGAUUAAUACCAUCACUCUCAAACUCUCUAGUGAUCAAGACAACAGUUCAAGCUCCAGAGGACAAGAAAAAAUAUACAUAUCAGUUUACACAUUUCUUAUUGAAUACCCCCUUGGGUAUAAAUAAAGUUCUUAACUUAUCUUAUCUCAAAGUCAAUCAACAUUAGUCUGGCAUCACUACUUUAAUGAUAAUCAAAGGUUAAAUCAGGGGCUAUAAGGAGCUUAACCCCAGGACAUACUGGCUUUGCCAAUAUGCACAUUGGAGGUUCUGAGUGACCUGCUUUUUUCUACCUUGCUCCAGGAUGUCAGCUUGUGUCUUUUCAUGCAGCCUAUCCUAUGUGGAUAGAAUACAGAUCUGUCAGGAGGAGCGCUCAUGGCACAGCUCUGCAGCAGAGCAUGGAGGAGCUUACCACCUAUCUUAGUCUCAAUUGAGCACAAAAGUGGAGUAAACUGUACAUAGAUUGUAAAUUUAGUGGGCUUUUUUAACAUUUGAAUAUUAUGCAGACUAUUUUCUAUGUUAAUUAGACCUUGAGAAAGAGAAGAUAGCAAGGGAAAAUCAUGCACCAUUCUUGGCACUAUUAGUGUUAGAUAUCCAUUCCUGGUGGAUCAUCCCUUCAAAGUUUUUUAUAGUUCAGUGCAUUUCGUUUUAAAGGCAACAUAACUAGGGUGCAUGGAGCUGCAAAGUCUUAGCUCUCUCAGUUUGACAAAGCUAAGAUAAUCACACAGAUAAUCAUCUAAAAGGUGGAGGGAUUACAGAGAAUUGUAAAAUCAUGAAAAAAUAACUCAAGUGUUAGACCGCAUAUUUAACUUACCUCUUCAUUUGCAAAGAGCAGCUUGUUCAAAAUUUAAAAAGAGAAAAAGAAAAUGUCUCUCACAUACAGUGGCUGAUAUAACCCCAGAUUAAAACAAGAAUAGUAAUGUGAAGGUAAAAUUAACAGACUAAAUGUACAGGUAUGUUAUUUUUAAGAUCCACCCAGUGGUGAAAAUGUUUAUAAAUUCUGCAGCCUAGUCAACACUAAUAAUCAGCACUCACAGUAGAAUUCACUCUAAUGCCCCAUUUUCCAACAGAGUGGGUCACAGUCAUAACAGCUGUUCCAACAGCUUUUGGUAAUGUAUGCAAACAACACCAGCAGGUUGUAAGUUUUGAGAAAUUUGGGAGGAGUUGCACAAAGAAAAAUAUUACCCGACUGUAGAAGAGCUGCAGUGAAAGAAAGAGUUGAUCAGAUAUAUGGUUUGACAAAACAUUGCAUUUCAAACAAACCCACAUUUUCCUUCAGGCUGUACCUUUUACCGUAAAGAUUAUUUCCAUGGCACUAUGUGGCUUUGAGGCUUCCAUUCAGCAAAGAGAGUUUGUCUGAGAUGUUUACAAAGCACGUUGUGGUCGACCUGUUUUUUGCAAUAUAAAGGGAAGGGUUUCUGAGAUGUUCUCAUGCUGAAAUGAAGAGAGGCCAAGAGAAAGUUUUUUUGUUUUUUUUUUUCUUGUGAAAUGUAAACCAUCCAAUCAUGUUAGAGGUUGGUAAGGAUAAUAAACCAAACAAAACUGAGAGAUGAGACCAGAUAAAGAGGAAGUGCUGACUCUUUUGAGUAAGGUGCCUCACUCAGAACUGCCAUUGAGAUGGCAGACAGCAUGAUGUCGCACUUUGUGAAUGUUUGCCUCCUCUGGACUUCGUGUGAGUAACAAAAAUCCACAUAUGGGAUUCCUUUUUCUAUCAGACACUUCAGUAAUAAUAUAUACUUUGUUUAUUUCAGAUGUGGCAAAGUUGUAUGACAUCCCUCAGCCAGUUUCCUUUAUAACAGUGAAGCUCGGAGACUUGGCGACUGUUGAAUGCCACAUAAAAUGUUCAGAGGAGUGUGGUACAAACUGACACCAGGAAGAAGACUACAGCUUGUAGCAACAUUCAAUACCUUACAUAAUAAAAGCCAGUUUGAAUGUUGGUCAACGUUAUUCACUUAACUUUGACCGAGUCAACAGUCAACUGCGCAUAUCGGCAACAACAUGGAGAGACACCGGGACAUACUUCUGUGGAGUAAUGUACUUAAGUGAAAUUCAGUUUGGAUCAGGAACCUUUUUGAUGCCCAAAGGUAUUUAUUUUAUACAUUUAAGCAUUUACAAUUUCUGACCUCCUCAGCUUUUGUCCUAAAUUUGAUUUAUGAGGCUCUGGGUAUCACUAGAAGCAGUUUUGCAUUUUCAAGGAGGUUUUAGCCUUCGCAGAAAGCAUUAACAAAGAACUGAUUCCCAGACGUGUUUUGAAAAUAAAUCUUGCACACAACAUUUGCAACUCCACAACUUAAAUCUGGACCAUAGUUACUUAAAUAAUAUAUUAUUUUAUAUUAUAUCACAGCAAUAUUAUAAUGUUACCAAUGCCAGAGGUAAGUCUGUACUUUUUUGACUGGGGUGGCUCGAAAGGGCUGCAAGAAGAAUUUCAUCUACUAAUUAACUACACACUAAUUUUAUCCAAUUUGACCACUGGGACUGUCAAACUAAAUGUGUUUUUAACUGGAAUUGCAAAUGAAUGUGCAUGUUAAAAAUCCAAUCUUAUGCAUGUAAGACCAGUUUUUAGGUCUAGACCAACACUGUAAAGUGAUUUUUUGUUGUGUCCACAUUUGGAAAUCAAAUGAAUGCUAUAAAAUGUAAUUUAUGAUCUGGACUUUUGAGAUGAAUCCUACACUGCGACACCAGAAACCUUGACUGAGAAGAAAGCUUCAAAGUGCUUAGAAUAUGCAAAAGAGAGUUUUAUUUCUAUUGAAGAAAAGCACUGUCACGUAUUAAGAACUAUACAGGAGUAUACAUGUACAAAAUGACCAGUGAGCAUCGAUUUGGUGUGCAGUUCUACAUAAUUUUGAUUGGUGAUCCCGUUAAUUCAACAGCAGGUGCACUUUGCAGGAGUUCUAGUUUUCUCUAGUGAUGAGAAGAACAGUUCUUUUGACUGUACUGAAUGUUUAGAAUCCGUUCAUAAAAAUGGUUUGUUCAAAAGAUUCGUUCACCGAAUCAGUCAGUGCAUUAGAGCCCCAUCCUGCCGGAUGCAGUACAUGAGUGAGUGACACAGCAACACUGAUCAGAAGUUCAUUCAUUGAACGAGCCCCUCCCCUCCCCUGCUGCUAGAGUCACAACGUCGUUCACUGGGUGACACAGGUCGUUCACCCGCCAAGUCAUGAAGAAAGAAUCACUCCCUUGCCCUGAAAAACUCACCUCUCUGUGUGCCACCGACGUUUGCAUCGCAACGCCCUAAACAGGUGCGAGUCGUUGUUCUUUUAUAUCACGGAAAAGUGGAGAGAUUAAAAAUAAAUAAACAUUGCAGCUGUAGCGGGGAUUCUGAUACUUUUAAAGAUAUCAUAUAGCAUAUUGCUUUAAAUUGGCUGAAAUAAAUCCUUUCCUGCAGGAGAGUUUUAUGUGUAUUAAUGUAAAGGCACUAUAAUGUACUGUUUUAUCUAAGCCUCAGUGAACUAACUGGUGCUCAGCAGUUCACGAACAACGCUACGCCCCUCCCUCCUCUGCCUGCCUCAAGUGGUUCGGAAGUCGUUCGUUUCAUUCACAGUCUGACUGAUACAUUUCGUUCACUGUGAGCAAAUCAUGAGACUUCACCUGCACUCUUGCUGGCUGGCUGGCUGUGUGUCAUUCACCAAAGAGUCAAAGGCGGUAGUUCCACUCCACACUCGCAGCUGAGUUCAACUAAACUAAGAAAGGAACAAAUCAUGUCUUGGAGUGAUUCCAUUCACGUCGAUCACUCAGCAGUUCCAUUCUUUUCCCUGGUCCCCAUUUGCCCUUUAUAUCUGAAAUCGUAGUUCCUUUUCCUGGCCACCGUAACU
Molecule: long non-coding RNA, 4748 nt
Filed under: Xyrichtys novacula (pearly razorfish)
Lineage: Eukaryota; Metazoa; Chordata; Actinopteri; Labriformes; Labridae
Source: RNAcentral